This is a long non-coding RNA of Asparagus officinalis (garden asparagus), 415 nucleotides long. RefSeq lists it as uncharacterized. NCBI's taxonomy places the organism in Eukaryota, Viridiplantae, Streptophyta, Magnoliopsida, Asparagales, Asparagaceae. The transcript is spliced from 2 exons. The record is from RefSeq and is a predicted model, not a curated record.
GAUCACGCCGCCAGAAGCGGACAUCGAGGAUUUCUUCGCUGCAGCGGAGAAGAAAGAGGCGCAGCGAUUCGCCCGCACGUACAACUAUGACGUCGUCAACGACGUGCCGUUGGAGGGACGCUACGAGUGGGUUCCAGUCUGAAAAAUAGAAAUCCCAAACCCUAGAAAAGAAGAGAGAACAAAGUAUAACAGAAGAUCUAAAUUUAUUACUGCUUUCUUUUCUUUUUUAGCUUUCUUGCCUUGAAAUUAAAAGGUAGGUGAAUUUAUUAUUGUACAGCAGAAAUGACCACCGCCUUCUUCCUCCCAAUGUGCUUUAACCUGUAGAAGGCUCUGAACGUACUGACUCCCCUUUUCCAAAGCUUCUCGCUUGGUCUCCAUCCUAAAUUUCUCAAUAAAAACUACGCUUCUUUUCCAA